RNAcentral lists this ribosomal RNA (407 nucleotides) under uncultured bacterium. RNAcentral describes it as "bacterial SSU rRNA". It matches the Rfam family "Bacterial small subunit ribosomal RNA", at positions 355 to 776 of the family's 1533-position model. The record is from RNAcentral.
UGGGGAAUAUUGCACAAUGGGCGAAAGCCUGAUGCAGCAACGCCGCGUGAGGGAAGACGGUCUUCGGAUUGUAAACCUUUGUCCUUGGUGACGAAAAGAAUGACGGUAGCCGAGGAGGAAGCCACGGCUAACUACGUGCCAGCAGCCGCGGUAAUACGUAGGUGGCAAGCGUUGUCCGGAAUUACUGGGUGUAAAGGGAGCGCAGGCGGGGGAGCAAGUCAGCUGUGAAAUAUACGGGCUUAACUCGUAGACUGCAGUUGAAACUGUUCUUCUUGAGUGAAGUAGAGGUAGGCGGAAUUCCGAGUGUAGCGGUGAAAUGCGUAGAGAUUCGGAGGAACACCAGUGGCGAAGGCGGCCUACUGGGCUUUAACUGACGCUGAGGCUCGAAAGUGUGGGGAGCAAACAGG